RNAcentral lists this ribosomal RNA (253 nucleotides) under uncultured bacterium. Its description in RNAcentral is "partial 16S ribosomal RNA". It matches the Rfam family "Bacterial small subunit ribosomal RNA", at positions 524 to 776 of the family's 1533-position model. The record is from RNAcentral.
UACAGAGGUCCCAAGCGUUGUUCGGAUUCACUGGGCGUAAAGGGUGCGUAGGUGGCGGAGUAAGUCGGAUGUGAAAGCUCGGAGCUCAACUCCGAAAUGGCAUUGGAAACUGCUCCGCUCGAGGGUUGGAGGGGGGACUGGAAUACUUGGUGUAGCAGUGAAAUGCGUAGAUAUCAAGUGGAACACCAGUGGCGAAGGCGAGUCCCUGGACAACUCCUGACACUGAGGCACGAAAGCUAGGGGAGCAAACAGG